UGGGGAAUUUUGCACAAUGGGGGAAACCCUGAUGCAGCGACGCCGCGUGAUUUAGAAGGCCUUCGGGUUGUAAAAAUCUUUUCUAUGGGAAGAAAAUGACAGUACCAUAGGAAUAAGGACCGGCUGAUUACGUGCCAGCAGCCGCGGUAAUACGUAAGGUCCGAGCGUUGUCCGGAAUCAUUGGGCGUAAAGGGUACGUAGGCGGGUAAGCAAGUUAGAAGUGAAAUCCUAUAGCUCAACUAUAGUAAGCUUUUAAAACUGCUCAUCUUGAGGUAUGGAAGGGAAAGUGGAAUUCCUAGUGUAGCGGUGAAAUGCGCAGAUAUUAGGAGGAAUACCGGUGGCGAAGGCGACUUUCUGGCCAUAACCUGACGCUGAGGUACGAAAGCGUGGGUAGCAAACAGG
This 402-nucleotide ribosomal RNA is filed under the name bacterium. Its description in RNAcentral is "partial 16S ribosomal RNA". It matches the Rfam family "Bacterial small subunit ribosomal RNA", at positions 355 to 776 of the family's 1533-position model. The record is from RNAcentral.